This is a long non-coding RNA of Brassica oleracea var. oleracea, 1155 nucleotides long. RefSeq lists it as uncharacterized. Lineage: Eukaryota; Viridiplantae; Streptophyta; Magnoliopsida; Brassicales; Brassicaceae. The record is from RefSeq and is a predicted model, not a curated record. The transcript has 6 exons.
GUCCUGUUCCUGUUGCCAUCCUGCAUAAUUUCACAGGAGUCAAAGACUGCAUGGUCUACCACAAUGUGGCUUAGAUACGAUUUGCUAAAGGCCCGGUAGGGUCUAAUAUAAAAUACCUACCUCUCUUACUAGUCUUAUGUAAAAGAAUGUAAAAGACUGCAAAGCAUACCUGAGAAAGCAUGGUCUCAGAUUAUCUGGUACAAAACCAGUUUUUACUGAGAGGAUUCUUGAGCAUUGGAGGAUAAAAGAUGGGAAUGGGGAAUCACUUUAUCCAAUAUCAUCUUUUCCUAUCAACCGUACAGGAGACACUGUUUUGUUUACACAGAAGGUUAAAGGGAGUGGGGAGAUUAUGGGGAGGAGAACUGUCGCUGGUCAGGUUGUUAAAGAAAGCUAAACAGCAACACACUUACACUAUUGAAGUGCUUUGCUGCGAGGGGAUGCAGAAAUUGCCUCCCUUGUACCCUUUACUAGUGAAAGGACGGAAUAUUUCCUUAAUAGGUUAAUGACCAUGAGACAGCGAUGGGCUAAUGAAGACGACAGAGUAAAAGUUCUUUCUGAAAAGCAUAGCCGUGGUGCCACAGCAGCAAGAAAGGUUAUGAGAGAAAGGAAAAUAAAGUUAGGCUAUAUAUGUACUAAAAGAUGGAAGACUUCAAAAGCCUGAUCAUGUGAAGAAGGCUGGCUUGUCAAGUAAAGACGAGAGGAAAAAUGAGAAUCAAACUCAGAGGUCUAGACAAGACAAUCAUUCACUUGUUGCUUCACAGGGGGGACAUAAGAAUCCAACCCAGUUGAGAAAUAUGAAUCCCCCUUUCCACUCCCACAAUUCCCAUAGAUAUGCUCCUCGACCACACGUACGGUCCUCCACCACGUGCUCCUCGUCCAUACGCUCCUUUUAGUUCACAUCUUCCUCGUCCAAACAUUCCUCAUCUACAACAAAACCAAUCAAUCCAAAGACCACCAGCAGCUUUCUUCAACGGAAGACCUACUUCUAAUGCUUUGCAGUAACACUCAUUGGUACUGGUCUCGUUUGCAAGUAAACUUGAAUUGAGUUUGCACUUUUCUUUUUUUUUUUUUAAAUCUGGUUUCAAGGCCAUAGGAAACACUCACUUCUUGGGUCUUCUCUGUAAUACUGAAAGUUUUAUCGGAUCAUAAUUCUCU